AGUGAACGCUGGCGGUAGGCCUAACACAUGCAAGUCGAACGGCAGCACAGUAAGAGCUUGCUCUUACGGGUGGCGAGUGGCGGACGGGUGAGGAAUACAUCGGAAUCUACUUUUUCGUGGGGGAUAACGUAGGGAAACUUACGCUAAUACCGCAUACGACCUACGGGUGAAAGCAGGGGAUCUUCGGACCUUGCGCGAUUGAAUGAGCCGAUGUCGGAUUAGCUAGUUGGCGGGGUAAAGGCCCACCAAGGCGACGAUCCGUAGCUGGUAUGAGAGGAUGAUCAGCCACACUGGAACUGAGACACGGUCCAGACUCCUACGGGAGGCAGCAGUGGGGAAUAUUGGACAAUGGGCGCAAGCCUGAUCCAGCCAUACCGCGUGGGUGAAGAAGGCCUUCGGGUUGUAAAGCCCUUUUGUUGGGAAAGAAAAGCAGCAGGUUAAUACCCCGCUAUUCUGACGGUACCCAAAGAAUAAGCACCGGCUAACUUCGUG
RNAcentral lists this ribosomal RNA (492 nucleotides) under uncultured bacterium. RNAcentral describes it as "partial 16S ribosomal RNA". It matches the Rfam family "Bacterial small subunit ribosomal RNA", at positions 29 to 507 of the family's 1533-position model. The record is from RNAcentral.